Long non-coding RNA from Leopardus geoffroyi (Geoffroy's cat), 183 nucleotides. RefSeq lists it as uncharacterized. The record is from RefSeq and is a predicted model, not a curated record. NCBI's taxonomy places the organism in Eukaryota, Metazoa, Chordata, Mammalia, Carnivora, Felidae. The transcript has 2 exons.
CUGGGCCAGCUCUUCUUUCAACCGCCGGAUCUCAUCCUGCUGCCGGAAGAACAUUCGGAGGAGCUGGGGUGGAGGAAGAGAGGGGCCAGGGCGGCCGGGAGAGAGCAGUGGAAAAUGCCAAAUAUAUACUAGGGUGGAAAGAACCACACUAUGAGCCUCCAAGAACUCAUCAACUGGCUUCAA